Monodelphis domestica (gray short-tailed opossum) is the source of this 706-nucleotide long non-coding RNA. RefSeq lists it as uncharacterized. Lineage: Eukaryota; Metazoa; Chordata; Mammalia; Didelphimorphia; Didelphidae. The record is from RefSeq and is a predicted model, not a curated record.
CAGCAACCCGUUCUAAAAUGUCAUCAGGAGAUGGUGAACGUGUUCGAGUGCUACUCUGAGGGCUGCUUGGCUCAGAUGGCAUAGACAUAUUGCUAUCCUCAGCAAGCCUACUCCACCAAAGCCCCGACAAGACAAGAGCAAGAGGUGGGGCUACACGAAAUUUAUAUCCUCCCUAUGUCAGCACAUAAGACAUUACACACCAGUCAGAAUAGGAAUGCCUUCAUCACAAGAAAAGGUAUUUUUACAUUUUAUAAGGAUAUUCCAGAAGCAAGAAUUAACAUGAAUCCUCAAGAAGCAAUGGAAUUUGGGGGAGAUUACAUCUACUUUAAGACACUGAGACAGCAAAGGGAAGUGGAAGCCACAGAAUAUUUUGGAGCAGAGGAGUGAUGAUCAAACCUGUGAAGGACAUGCUGGAAUGGAGAGACUAGAAACAAGGGGCCAAUUAGGACACUCUUGCAAUGGUUCAGGAGAGAUGUCAAGAGGGUAGACUAGGGUAGAUGGAAUGAGUAGAAUGAGAAGAUAGUAAAAAAUAUUAUGAAAGUAGAUGGCCAAUUCUUCUUCAAUGGAAGCAAAAGGAUGAAUGACUAGAGGAUAACACAAGGACUGAAAUGCAGAGUAUAGAAGAAGGAGUUCACGACAGUUUGCAUUUUCUUAUCAUCAAAAUGAGGCAAUCACAAAAUAAAAAGAGCUUAAAAAUUUUCUGUUC